RNAcentral lists this ribosomal RNA (119 nucleotides) under Pteropus alecto (black flying fox). The record is from RNAcentral. Lineage: Eukaryota; Metazoa; Chordata; Mammalia; Chiroptera; Pteropodidae.
GUCUGUGGCCAUGCCACCCUGAACAAGCCUGAUCCCAUCUGAUCUUGGUAGCUAAGCAGGGUUGGGCCUGGUUAGUACUUGGAUGAGAGACCACCUAGGAAGACCAGGAACUAUAGAUG